GAUGAAGAACGCAGCGAAAUGCGAUAAGUAAUGUGAAUUGCAGAAUUCAGUGAAUCAUCGAAUCUUUGAACGCACAUUGCGCCCGCUGGUAUUCCGGCGGGCAUGCCUGUUCGAGCGUCAUUUCAACCAUCAAGCCCCCGGCUUGCGUUGGAGCCCUGCGGCUGCCGCAGGCUCCCAAAUCCAGUGGCGGGCUCGUCGUCGUACCGAGUGCAGUAAACAUCCUCGCUCAGGGAACGUGACGGGUUCUUGCCGUGAAACCCCCCACAUAUCAAGGUUGACCUCGGAUCAGGUAGGAAUACCCGCUGAACUUAAGCAUAUCAAUAAGCGGAGGA
This 332-nucleotide unclassified non-coding RNA is filed under the name soil metagenome. RNAcentral describes it as "partial contains 5.8S ribosomal RNA, internal transcribed spacer 2, and large subunit ribosomal RNA". The stretch from base 1 to 120 matches the Rfam family "5.8S ribosomal RNA", at positions 35 to 154 of the family's 154-position model. The record is from RNAcentral.